CAGCGCCAGCCGCUCCCUGUGGCGCCUCCAGCCCGUUACCCCGUGGCGCCGUUACCUCCGCUGCUGGGGCGGGAGCCCGGCCCCAGGCGGCCCCGCAUCCUUCCGCCCAGGCCCACGAGCUGUGCCUCCCAUCUCCUAGCUCGGGACCCCGCGCGGGGAGAGGCGCCAGUUGGGGGUCCGGUCGGCCACGCCACCUACGCCGGGACGGCUGCCUCCGCGGCGCGACGCUCCCACGGGUACUCUCGACCAGACACUGCAGCUCAGCGCACUUUCGCUCCCGACUGGCCCCGGCUGGGAAGUGGGGAGACGCAGCUCCAGGGGCGGGAGGGGGAGCGGUCUGGUCGCCUAGCAACCGCGGCACGCCCCCGGGAAACGCCUCGGCGCAGCUACGGGCUGACGCACAGGGGCGGGGCCCGUGGCCGGUAAAGGCCACGCGGCGCUCCUAGCGGGUGCUAGUACUGGCGCGGGAGGCGGGAGGUUGGAGGCGAGGAGCUCGCGGCCUAGGCUGUUUGGGUCCCUGGCGCGAGCUGUAGACGGAGAGAGGGGUCCGGAGAAGGAGGGGUGAAAGUAGCAGUUAGCCCGCGAUCUCAGAAGGGCUGCCCGCCCCUCACGGUCCCUUAAUAGCACGUUGCGUCCUGGAAGUUCUAAAACGUCCCGCUUCAAUAUGAAUUUUAAAUUAGUGAAAACAUAUGUGUAUUGUUUUAGGCUUUCCCACCGCGGGGACGGCCCUCCGGGGGUUGACUUAGCUGGGAUGCAGAAUAGAAGCUGGGCCUUUGUCUGACUACCCUGCAACAGUCAGCCACAGACGGGAAGGCAGCGCAGGAAACUGAGGCCAAAGGAGCCGCGCUUCCUCAUGAGCAUGAAGCGGCAAAGCCUGAACUAGAAGCUUCUAACGCCUAACCGUCCUCUUGCCGCACCAGGACCUACCUCUGCAAGGCCCUUCCUGACUUUUUCCUUAGAAUGUGUGUAUAUGUGUCUUUUUCCUUUUCUGAUGCUAAGACACCUCAGAAACACCAAUGUUAAGCAGAUUUCCAUCGUUGGAGGUUAAAACACCCGAAUACAAGUGUUUUCUUGAGUGUGGCAUCUGGUCAGAUGUUUUAUGGGUUGGUUUGUUUUUAAAAAAAAAAAAUUUCCUGUUAGAUGGGUGGUAAGAACCAGUCAGAGUUUGUAAACCCACCAAGCACGAGGCGGUCGGACCGUCCAGAUUCUGGAGUCCAGAAGACACCAAACGUUCUCAGAAUGCCGAACGCGGGCGCCACCUGGUGGGACUAGAACGCUUAUUGUCCCAAAUCAGCAUAGCACACAGUUCCCAUAAAUCUUAAAAAUUCCCAUCCAAGGCUCAUUUCCGUGUGACUAAAAGUCAUAUUCUCUGUUCUCGUGACUCCAAGUAAAAAUGUCCCUAAAGAGCCAAAGUAUCUUCACUGUAUAAACUAAUAAUCUAUUGGUUUGGGGAAUUUUAUUUUUUGUGAUCAAUGUUACUUUAGCCUUUCUAUGAUAUACAUAUAAAUAAAAAAGUUUUCUUCCAUGAUGAUUUUUUAAAGUUUAUUUUAUAAAUAAACUUUUUCUUUUUGUCUCUCCCUUCCCCCACUUUGCAACCAGAGCAAUUCUGCUUUCACAGGGGUUUGUAUUUGGGCUCUUACGAAGCUUUUGUUUGAAGAAAGAGUUCCAUGGCAACGCAAAGAUUGGACGAGGUUACUGUUGAAGUCCCUUCCAG
Molecule: long non-coding RNA, 1714 nt
Filed under: Homo sapiens (human)
Lineage: Eukaryota; Metazoa; Chordata; Mammalia; Primates; Hominidae
Description: HSALNT0297705
Source: RNAcentral